CUCAAAGGUUCCCUCAGAAUGGUUGGAAAUCAUUCAUAGAGUGUAAAGGCAUAAGGGAGCUUGACUGCGAGACCUACAAGUCGAGCAGGGUCGAAAGACGGACUUAGUGAUCCGGUGGUUCCGCAUGGAAGGACCAUCGCUCAACGGAUAAAAGCUACCCCGGGGAUAACAGGCUUAUCUCCCCCAAGAGUUCACAUCGACGGGGAGGUUUGGCACCUCGAUGUCGGCUCAUCGCAUCCUGGGGCUGUAGUCGGUCCCAAGGGUU
RNAcentral lists this ribosomal RNA (265 nucleotides) under Staphylococcus aureus. RNAcentral describes it as "partial 23S ribosomal RNA". It matches the Rfam family "Bacterial large subunit ribosomal RNA", at positions 2309 to 2573 of the family's 2925-position model. Lineage: Bacteria; Bacillati; Bacillota; Bacilli; Caryophanales; Staphylococcaceae. The record is from RNAcentral.